RNAcentral lists this small RNA (1409 nucleotides) under Pongo abelii (Sumatran orangutan). Its description in RNAcentral is "retained intron". Lineage: Eukaryota; Metazoa; Chordata; Mammalia; Primates; Hominidae. The record is from RNAcentral.
GAAAGGCUUCCAGAUGCUGGCGGAUCCCGGCUCCUUCGACUCCAACGCCUUCACGCUUCUCCUCCGGGCGGCAUUCCAGAGUCUGCUGGACGCCCAGGCGGACGAGGCCGUGUUAGAUCAUCCAGACUUGAAACAUAUCGACCCAGUGGUUUUAAAACAUUGUCAUGCAGCAGCUGCAACUUACAUACUAGAGGCAGGAAAGCACCGAGCUGACAAGUCAACUCUAAGCACUUAUCUAGAAGACUGUAAAUUUGACAGAGAGCGAAUAGAACUGUUUUGCACGGAAUAUCAGAAUAAUAAGAAUUCCCUAGAAAUCCUACUGGGAAGGUAGGUACUGUAUAAGGUGUCAAGCUGAGGCACUUUUCACUUGCAGGUAUGAAUGGAGAGUGUUGGUGUGAAACAAGAUCUUCGGGAUCUUGACCCAAAGAAAAGGAGCCAAAGGGCAUGUCAAACAAUUGAAGUUAAGCUAAUGUUUUUAAAGAUAGUUUAUUGAGAUGAUUUUGAAAUGCUCCUUUACCAUUCAGAAUUUAAAAAUAAAGUUUAACAAUGGUUUAAAUUCAGAAUGGAUUAAAAUGGAGUUGGGGGUGGAAAGUAGAGCCAUUCUUAGUAAAUAAUAAAUAACUGAAAAGUUCUUUUGAGAAGACUAUGUACAAAGUUAUCAUUGCAUCUUUCAGUAUAGGCAGAUCGCUCCCUCAUAUAACGGAUGUUUCUUGGCGCUUGGAAUAUCAGAUAAAGGUAUAGUUUAAGAAACUUCUCUAGGGGGGAUUUAGGGAACUUCUUAAAACCUAGAGUUAAAAGCUGUUACGUGUUUGUUGUGUUAUUUUAGACCAAUCAACUUCAUAGGAUGUACAGACCUGCAUAUUUGGUGACCUUAAGUGUACAGGUAUUUAUAGAUAAGUCUUAUCCAGUAAUGAAAUUUAUAAUUUUAUUGAUUUAAAUAAACAGCGUUUUUUGUUGCGUGUUUUUUUUCCUGCCCUAGAACACUGAUUCCCCAUCCUAUCCAGAGAUUAGUUUUAGUUGCAGCAUGGAACAAUUACAGGACUUGGUGGGGAAACUUAAAGAUGCUUCGAAAAGCCUGGAAAGAGCAACUCAGUUGUAACUUGGGGAAGUUAACGAUCCGCCCGAGUGCAGAGGAAAACCAGAGACGCCUUGCCUUCAGCUGAACCACCGUUUGUGCGAGCUGGAUGUCCUUUUCAGUAGAAAAGAAUUUUCUUUUUGAAUUUAUGCCAUUCAUCAAUUUUGACACUUUAAAAACAUGUGUGAAAGGGUUAAGAGGGAAAGAUACUGCCCAAGUAUUUGAAUCGUUUAGUAGUAACUGUCCAUUUAUCCUAUUUUGAUCUUUUUCAAGUCUUCUGAAAGGAAGUAGACAGUAUUACACCCUGAAUAAAUAAGGUGGUGUUUUCCACAAA